AGAAUCAACGCUGGCGGCGUGCCUAACACAUGCAAGUCGAACGCGAAAGGGGAGCAAUCCCUGAGUAGAGUGGCAAACGGGUGAGUAACACGUGGGUGACCUGCCUUCGAGUGGGGGAUAACGUUCCGAAAGGAACGCUAAUACCGCAUGACAUCCUGCUUUUGGAAAAGCGGAGAUCAAAGCUGGGGAUUCGCAAGAACCUAGCGCUUGAAGAGGGCCCGCGCCUGAUUAGCUAGUUGGUGAGGUAACGGCUCACCAAGGCUACGAUC
RNAcentral lists this ribosomal RNA (269 nucleotides) under uncultured soil bacterium. Its description in RNAcentral is "partial 16S ribosomal RNA". It matches the Rfam family "Bacterial small subunit ribosomal RNA", at positions 26 to 281 of the family's 1533-position model. The record is from RNAcentral.